RNAcentral lists this ribosomal RNA (446 nucleotides) under uncultured bacterium. RNAcentral describes it as "partial 16S ribosomal RNA". It matches the Rfam family "Bacterial small subunit ribosomal RNA", at positions 330 to 792 of the family's 1533-position model. The record is from RNAcentral.
GCCAGACUCCUACGGGAGGCAGCAGUGGGGGAUAUUGCACAAUGGGGGGAACCCUGAUGCAGCGACGCCGCGUGGGUGAAGGAGUAUUUCGGUAUGUAAAGCCCUAUCGGCAGGGAAGAAGAAAGACGGUGCCUGACUAAGAAGCCCCGGCUAACUACGUGCCAGCAGCCGCGGUAAUACGUAGGGGGCGAGCGUUAUCCGGAUUCACUGGGUGUAAAGGGAGCGUAGGCGGCCAAGCAAGCCAGGGGUGAAAGCCCGGGGCCCAACCCCGGGACUGCCCUUGGAGCUGCAUGGCUGGAGUGCGGGAGGGGCAGGCGGAAUUCCUGGUGUAGCGGUGAAAUGCGUAGAUAUCAGGAGGAACACCGGCGGCGAAGGCGGCCUGCUGGACCGCGACUGACGUUGAGGCUCGAAAGCGUGGGGAGCAAACAGGAUUAGAUACCCUUGUA